GUAGCCUAACAACAACAACAAGAGCAAAUGAAAUCGCAAAGUCUUUCAAAUGAAGAAAAAUAGCAAGUGACUUCCAAAAGGCACUUUACUUUGACUGUGUCAGGCUUUUUGGAAAUAAAGUUCCAGAAUUGGUAUUUGCAGGGUAUGUAUACGCUCAAAAGGUUUGGUUCAAAGCAACUCUGGUGCGAGCGCUCUGAUUAUGCGGCUCAUUUGAUUCAAUGCGAACGCUAUCGACUGGACGAAGUUGCUCACCAUAUGAUCAUAUAAUCAGGCCAAGUGUGAUUGCAUUCAAAAUUGCACUUGAGAGCAUGUUGGAUGAGAAGAACAGUGAUGCAUCAGCGCACACCUUCAAUCGAGUUCCUGAAGCUCUCGGAGGAGGUGGAGUAGUAAGGCGGUGUGUCAAAGGUGUUGAGCUGCAGACAGUCCAACACGUCCUGCGGCUCGGGCAGCCUCUGCACCAUGGGCCGCGCCACGUUGCCCGACGGGUUCCUCCUGAUGGGGCUGGUCUCUGUGUCUGCGAGUGGAGCACACAAGGUUGGAGUUAGUGCUUUCUAACGAGUACAGCACAAAAAGAAAAGGAUGACGACCAUCUAGCUGGAAGCAACGAUUGCAUUCAAGGAUUUUUAGCAGCUGCAGUUCAGAUCCAGGUCACUUGUCCCCACGGAAAUGGAGAGGAAGGGGAUGUGAUGAGUUAUGUUGUAUUAUUCAACAACUCUCUCAUUCAAUGUGGGAGACUCGACGAGUUUGAUCAUUCUUUAACAUGACAGCGUGGUAAUUGUUCACUAAAUUUCAACAACAGUGAGUGGGAGCGCUGUGAAGUCUCUUUACAAGGUGUCUGGGCUCACCCUUGGAGACCGAGCAAGGAGCUCGGUCAUUCGGAAGAGACUCCACGGCGAGAGCUGUUUCUAUUUUGGAUGCUUCCUGGACGCUGCGAUGGGGAAGAGUUCUGGGCAAGUCCCACUGGGAUGAGACCUCAGGGCAUUAUUAGGACACGCUCCAGGGACCUGAGUACGCCUCCGUGCCCUCACGGUGGAACUCGGGAGGAGGCCGGAGAUGAGAAAGUCUCCGGCAUUCCUGCUUAGUCUGCUGCUCCCACCACCCGGAUGAAAAGUUAGAGAAUGAUUUCUUUCUGGAAGUUUGGGUCCCGGGGAGAACUAACUUGGGAUUUGAGCUGAAAACUUUGGGAAACCCUGAUGUAGAAUAAUUUAACAAAUUGAAUUUCUGACAGACUGCAGCAAUUGUGAGCAAUUUCAAACACAGCACUGCAGCUAGGGGGUAUAUUUAUAGCAGCUUGUGUCGUACACGCUGGAUUUAUGAGGUGGAUGUCCUCAUUUUUCUUGCAUCACCGCAACUCCCUUACUGCAAAGGUAUCAGCAGCUCGAGCCAGCGACUGUUCCUUACUAUUGCAGA
This is a long non-coding RNA of Phyllopteryx taeniolatus (common seadragon), 1410 nucleotides long. RefSeq lists it as uncharacterized. The record is from RefSeq and is a predicted model, not a curated record. The transcript is spliced from 3 exons. Lineage: Eukaryota; Metazoa; Chordata; Actinopteri; Syngnathiformes; Syngnathidae.